AUUGAACGCUGGCGGCAUGCCUUACACAUGCAAGUCGAACGGCAGCACGGGAGCAAUCCUGGUGGCGAGUGGCGAACGGGUGAGUAAUAUAUCGGAACGUGCCCGGUCGUGGGGGAUAACGUAGCGAAAGCUACGCUAAUACCGCAUACGAUCUACGGGAUGAAAGCGGGGGAUCGCAAGACCUCGCGCGAUUGGAGCGGCCGAUAUCAGAUUAGGUAGUUGGUGAGGUAAAGGACUCACCAAGCCGACGAUCUGUAGCUGGUCUGAGAGGACGACCAGCCACACUGGGACUGAGACACGGCCCAGACUCCUACGGGAGGCAGCAGUGGGGAAGUUUUGGGACAAUGGGCGGCAAGCCUGAUCCAGCAAUGCC
This 373-nucleotide ribosomal RNA is filed under the name uncultured bacterium. RNAcentral describes it as "bacterial SSU rRNA". It matches the Rfam family "Bacterial small subunit ribosomal RNA", at positions 29 to 398 of the family's 1533-position model. The record is from RNAcentral.